RNAcentral lists this ribosomal RNA (334 nucleotides) under uncultured bacterium. RNAcentral's name for it is "bacterial SSU rRNA". It matches the Rfam family "Bacterial small subunit ribosomal RNA", at positions 8 to 334 of the family's 1533-position model. The record is from RNAcentral.
AGGGUUCGAUUAUGGCUCAGGAUGAACGCUAGCUACAGGCUUAACACAUGCAAGUCGAGGGGCAGCAUGAACUUAGCUUGCUAAGUUUGAUGGCGACCGGCGCACGGGUGAGUAACACGUAUCCAACCUGCCGAUGACUCGGGGAUAGCCUUUCGAAAGAAAGAUUAAUACCCGAUGGCAUAGUUCUUCCGCAUGGUAGAACUAUUAAAGAAUUUCGGUCAUCGAUGGGGAUGCGUUCCAUUAGGUUGUUGGCGGGGUAACGGCCCACCAAGCCUUCGAUGGAUAGGGGUUCUGAGAGGAAGGUCCCCCACAUUGGAACUGAGACACGGUCCAA